RNAcentral lists this transfer RNA (72 nucleotides) under Sus scrofa (pig). It matches the Rfam family "tRNA". Rfam says of the family: Transfer RNA (tRNA) molecules are approximately 80 nucleotides in length. Lineage: Eukaryota; Metazoa; Chordata; Mammalia; Artiodactyla; Suidae. The record is from Rfam by way of RNAcentral.
UCCCUGGUGGUCAAAUGGUUAGGAUUCAGUGCUUCCAGUACUGUGGUCUGGGUUCAAUCCCUGGUCUAGGAA